Molecule: ribosomal RNA, 322 nt
Filed under: uncultured eukaryote
Lineage: Eukaryota
Description: partial 18S ribosomal RNA
Rfam family: Eukaryotic small subunit ribosomal RNA
Source: RNAcentral
CCCUUAGAUGUUCUGGGCCGCACGAGUGCUACACUGAGUGGAUCAGCGGGUCAGGUUGCGCGAAAGUGUUUCCUAAUCUUGAAAUCCGCUCGUGAUGGGGAUUGACGGUUGCAAUUUUCCGUCAUGAACGAGGAAUACCUUGUAAGCGCGGGUCAUCAUCCCGCGCUGAAUACGUCCCUGCCCUUUGUACACACCGCCCGUCGCUCCUACCGAUUGAGUGGUCCGGUGAGGCUUUGGGAUCUGAGCGGAAAGAGCGUUUCGCUGUUUCUGCUCGGAAAACUCAGUCGAACCUUAUCAUUUAGAGGAAGGAGAAGUCGUAACA